RNAcentral lists this ribosomal RNA (301 nucleotides) under uncultured bacterium. RNAcentral describes it as "partial 16S ribosomal RNA". It matches the Rfam family "Bacterial small subunit ribosomal RNA", at positions 509 to 807 of the family's 1533-position model. The record is from RNAcentral.
CAGCAGCCGCGGUAAUACGAAGGGGGCUAGCGUUGUUCGGAAUUACUGGGCGUAAAGCGUGCGCAGGCGGUCCGUUAAGACAGAUGUGAAAUCCCCGGGCUUAACCUGGGAACUGCAUUUGUGACUGGCGGGCUAGAGUAUGGCAGAGGGGGGUAGAAUUCCACGUGUAGCAGUGAAAUGCGUAGAGAUGUGGAGGAAUACCGAUGGCGAAGGCAGCCCCCUGGGCCAAUACUGACGCUCAUGCACGAAAGCGUGGGGAGCAAACAGGAUUAGAUACCCCGGUAGUCCCUGUCUCUUAUAC